CUACCCCUCAAGCGCGGCUUGUGUGUUGGGCGCUGUCCCCCCCCCCUUUUUCGGGGGGGACAGGCCUGAAAGGCAGUGGCGGCGUCGCGUCCGGUCCUCGAGCGUAUGGGGCUUUGUCACCCGCUCUGUGAGGAUCCGGCCGGGGCCUGUCUCACCCCCAAUCUUCUCUAA
RNAcentral lists this unclassified non-coding RNA (171 nucleotides) under uncultured Trichocomaceae. RNAcentral's name for it is "sequence contains ITS2". Lineage: Eukaryota; Fungi; Ascomycota; Eurotiomycetes; Eurotiales; Trichocomaceae. The record is from RNAcentral.